UUGGAGAAGGUUAGAUCAGCCAUCUGUUGGAAUAGGUGGUUUAAGCGUGUAGGCGUGCUCUUUAGGCAAAUCCGGAGAGCUUAGCUGAGGCGUGAUGACGAGCUCUCUUUGAGAGUGAAGUGAUUGAUACCAUGCUUCCAGGAAAAGCCUCUAAGCUUCAGUCAUAGAGUGACCGUACCGCAAACCGACACAGGUGGGCAGGUAGAAGAUACUAAGGCGCUUGAGAGAACUCAGGAGAAGGAACUCGGCAAAUUGAUACCGUAACUUCGGGAGAAGGUAUGCCUCAUUAGCUUGUAGGAGAACAUCCGAAGGGCGAAGAGGCCGCAGAGAAUCGGUGGCUGCGACUGUUUAUUAAAAACACAGCACUCUGCAAACACGAAAGUGGACGUAUAGGGUGUGACGCCUGCCCGGUGCCGGAAGGUUAAGUGAUGGGGUGCAAGCUCUUGAUCGAAGCCCCGGUAAACGGCGGCCGUAACAAUAACGGUCCUAAGGUAGCGAAAUUCCUUGUCGGGUAAGUUCCGACCUGCACGAAUGGCGUAACGAUGGCCACACUGUCUCCUCCUGAGACUCAGCGAAGCUGAAGUGUUUGUAAGAUGCAAUCUCCCCGCGGCUAGACGGAAAGACCCCAUGAACCUUUACUGUAGCUUUGCAUUGGACUUUGACGGGACUUGUGUAGGAUAGGUGGGAGGCGAUGAAACCGGGACGCUAGUUCCGGUGGAGCCAUCCUUGAAAUACCACCCUGGUGUCGUUGAGGUUCUAACCUAGGUCCGUAAUCCGGAUCGGGGACCGUGCAUGGUGGGCAGUUUGACUGGGGCGGUCUCCUCCCAAAAGGUAACGGAGGAGUACGAAGGUCUUCUAGGUACGGUCGGACAUCGUACUGAUAGUGCAAUGGCAAAAGAAGGCUUGACUGCGAGACCGACAAGUCGAGCAGGUGCGAAAGCAGGUCAUAGUGAUCCGGUGGUUCUGUAUGGAAGGGCCAUCGCUCAACGGAUAAAAGGUACUCUGGGGAUAACAGGCUGAUUCCGCCCAAGAGUUCACAUCGACGGCGGAGUUUGGCACCUCGAUGUCGGCUCAUCACAUCCUGGGGCUGUAGCCGGUCCCAAGGGUAUGGCUGUUCGCCAUUUAAAGUGGUACGUGAGCUGGGUUUAAAACGUCGUGAGACAGUUUGGUCCCUAUCUGCCGUGGGCGCUGGAUAUUUGAGGGGGCCUGCUCCUAGUACGAGAGGACCGGAGUGGACGAAUCUCUGGUGUACCGGUUGUGACGCCAGUCGCAUCGCCGGGUAGCUAAAUUCGGAAGAGAUAACCGCUGAAAGCAUCUAAGCGGGAAACUCGCCUCAAGAUGAGAUAUCCCUGGGAACUAGAUUCCCCUAAAGGGUCGUUGAAGACCACGACGUAGAUAGGCUGGGUGUGGAAGU
This 1414-nucleotide ribosomal RNA is filed under the name metagenome. RNAcentral's name for it is "bacterial LSU rRNA". It matches the Rfam family "Bacterial large subunit ribosomal RNA", at positions 1472 to 2874 of the family's 2925-position model. The record is from RNAcentral.